UACGUAGGGUGCAAGCGUUGUCCGGAAUCAUUGGGCGUAAAGCGCGCGUAGGUGGCUUCGUAAGUCCGUUGUGAAAGUCAAAGGCUCAACCUUUGAAUGCCGAUGGAUACUGCGAAGCUAGAGUACGGAAGAGGCGAGUGGAAUUCCUGGUGUGGCGGUGGAAUGCGCAGAUAUCAGGAGGAACACCAAUAGCGAAGGCAGCUCGCUGGGACGUUACUGACACUAAGGCGCGAAAGCGUGGGGAGCGAACAGG
Molecule: ribosomal RNA, 253 nt
Filed under: uncultured bacterium
Lineage: Bacteria
Description: partial 16S ribosomal RNA
Rfam family: Bacterial small subunit ribosomal RNA
Source: RNAcentral